GCUACAUCCGGGGCAGCGGCGUCGGUAAUACGGGGGGUCCGAUGGGUAAUCGGAAUUACUGGGCGUAAAGCGUGCGCAGGCGGUUUGUUAAGCGAGAUGUGAAAGCCCUGGGCUCAACCUAGGAAUAGCAUUUCGAACUGGCGAACUAGAGUCUUGUAGAGGGGGGUAGAAUUCCAGGUGUAGCGGUGAAAUGCGUAGAGAUCUGGAGGAAUACCGGUGGCGAAGGCGGCCCCCUGGACAAAGACUGACGCUCAUGCACGAAAGCGUGGGGAGCAAACAGGAUUAGAUACCCGAGUAGUC
This 300-nucleotide ribosomal RNA is filed under the name uncultured Lactobacillus sp. RNAcentral describes it as "bacterial SSU rRNA". It matches the Rfam family "Bacterial small subunit ribosomal RNA", at positions 496 to 795 of the family's 1533-position model. The record is from RNAcentral. Lineage: Bacteria; Bacillati; Bacillota; Bacilli; Lactobacillales; Lactobacillaceae.